This 73-nucleotide transfer RNA is filed under the name Salmonella enterica subsp. enterica serovar Paratyphi A. Its description in RNAcentral is "tRNA-Lys". It matches the Rfam family "tRNA". From Rfam's summary of the family: Transfer RNA (tRNA) molecules are approximately 80 nucleotides in length. Their secondary structure includes four short double-helical elements and three loops (D, anti-codon, and T loops). Lineage: Bacteria; Pseudomonadati; Pseudomonadota; Gammaproteobacteria; Enterobacterales; Enterobacteriaceae. The record is from RNAcentral.
GCGUUAGCUCAGUUGGUAGAGCAGUUGACUUUUAAUCAAUUGGUCGCAGGUUCGAAUCCUGCACGACCCACCA